CCCCGGGGCCCGAGGCAAGGGGCCCCCACCGACACCUGCUCCUCCCCGCACCUCGCAGCCCCCGCACCUGUGGGUCUGGCCUACCCUGCUGCNCGCCCCGGCCCCGGGCGCAGCGCCUGCAGGGCGCGGGGGUCCCCCCGCGGGGAACACCACGAGCGGCCUCGGAGCCCCGGGGCCUGAGGCAAGGGGCCCCCACCGACACCUGCUCCUCCCCGCACCUCGCAGCCCCCGCACCUGUGGGUCUGGCCUCCACCCUGCUGCCGCCGCGGGAACGGCCGAGGCUUUGGGCCAACUCGAGCUCCCCCUCCCCGCGUCCAAAUGCGCUGCGGAAAAAGCCGGGGACUGUGCCGUGGCAAAGCCUGGAGCGUUUCGAGUCCUUUUCUGGAUUCGCACCAGCUCCUCUCUUUACAAGCAUCUUUAUCCGGAAUUCAGCGAGUCCAAAAACCCAGAGCCAAGUGUCCUCCUUGGGACCAGAAGCGACCUGCGUUCAUAGGGGCCCUGCUUCCUGCCCACCCACCACUCGCUUUCCUCGGAUCUCGAAGUUACUUGAUAGCAGGACGAAGGGAGCCCAACUGUCACCAUUCGCCCGAGCUCCCAGCGCGGUGCCAGGCGUCUUCCCAACAUGAUCUCAUUCCCCCCUACCAAUAGCUAGCAGCCUGAAAUUGAAGUUCUUACCAUCUGUAGCCAAGGAAUGACAUCCUGACUCCAGCCUUCCUCUCCCAGAUUCAUCUUCAAAACUGAUGCCUUACAGCAUGGGUUUUAGAGACAAGAAAAGAAAAGAAAAAGAAAAAAAUUAAAAAUAGAACUACCAUGUGAUUCAGGAAUUCCACUCCUUUCACAACUUGAAAGCAGGAGCAUGUAGAGAUAUUGGGGCAAUCAGGUUCACAGCAGCACCAUUCACAACAGCCAAAAGGUGGAAGCAACCCAAGUGCCCAUCGAUGAAUGAAUGGAUGAACAAAAUGUGGUAUAUACAUUGAAGGGGUGGAAACCUUUUCCCUUCUUCCCUGCUAGGUUCUUCAGCAAUAAUUUAAUUGAUAUAAGACAGAUUAGCAGAGAAGAGCAAACUUAACUGCAUACAUAUGAACACCUCACGAAGAUCUGAAGACUCAAAGGGCAGCCAGGUAAUUGAGGUUUAUGUAAUAUCAUGGAGCUAAGGAAAAAGAUAAGGAUCUGGGGAGACAAAGGGAAGAAAGGCCAUUCACUUUUGAAUGGUUUUAGUUCAAAAUAAUCCUUAUGCCACAAAGAGACACAUUUUGAGGUGGUAAUAUAUGCUCCCCUUCAACAUAUAGAAUAUUAUUCAGCCUUGCAAAGGAAGGAAAUUCAGACACAUGGGCAACCUUGAGGACAUUAUGCUAAGUAAAAUAAGCCAGUCCCAAAAGGAGAAAUAUUACACGAUUCCACUUUCUGAGGUACCUGGAGUAGUCAAAUUCAGAGGCAGAAAGCAGUAUGGUAUCCCCCUACUUAAAGUCAAGGGGCUCUUCAUUUGAUCACAGGGCCAAGCCCAAGGUCUCCG
Molecule: long non-coding RNA, 1513 nt
Filed under: Vulpes vulpes (red fox)
Lineage: Eukaryota; Metazoa; Chordata; Mammalia; Carnivora; Canidae
Description: lncRNA (ENSVVUG00000021864.1)
Source: RNAcentral